RNAcentral lists this ribosomal RNA (339 nucleotides) under uncultured eukaryote. RNAcentral describes it as "partial 18S ribosomal RNA". It matches the Rfam family "Eukaryotic small subunit ribosomal RNA", at positions 1470 to 1796 of the family's 1831-position model. The record is from RNAcentral.
CCCUUAGAUGUCCUGGGCCGCACGCGUGCUACAAUGAUAAAAGGAAAGAGCAAAAAGAGGUUUAUUUUUCUCUUUGUUACUGAAUAGAAAUGUUUGGUUAAUCUUUAGAAAUUUUAUCGUGAUGGGGAUAGAUCCUUGAAAUUAUUGAUCUUAAACGAGGAAUUCCUAGUAAGCGCAAUUCAUCAAAUUGCGUUGAUUUCGUCCCUGCCCUUUGUACACACCGCCCGUCGCUCCUACCGAUUGAAAGAUCCGGUGAAAAGUUGGGAGAAGAAAGAAUGUAUUGUUCUUUUAUUAAACUUCUUUAAACCUUAUCUUUUAGAGGAAGGAGAAGUCGUAACA